This 939-nucleotide non-coding RNA is filed under the name Pseudechis porphyriacus (red-bellied black snake). Lineage: Eukaryota; Metazoa; Chordata; Lepidosauria; Squamata; Elapidae. The record is from RNAcentral.
CUAAUAACACAAGGUCUUGGUCUUAAACCUCUCAUUGUCUAAACCCCAUAAUUAUACAUGCAAGCCUCAACAUAACAGUGAAAUAGCCCACUAUAAUUUACCCAGCGGAGCCGGUAUCAGGUCAACCACCCAUGACACCAAGCAGCAUAAGCCACACCCCCACGGGCAAGCAGCAGUACUUAAUAUUAGGCCAUAAGCGCAAGCUUGACCUAAUAAUGGUGUUCCAAAGGCCGGUUAAUCUCGUGCCAGCGACCGCGGUUACACGACAGACCUAAGACAAUGAUAUCGGCGUAAAGCACGACUAAAAUUAAAGUCUAUCUAUUAGGAAUAAAAAUAAACUAGGUCGUAAAAAACCAUAAGCAAUACUAAACACAUAACCCUAAUAAUAAGACAACUUCAACUCGUGAAAGCCAGGACACAAACUAAGAUUAGAUACCUUACUAUGCCUGGCAGUAACCAAACAAUUAAAUAACUAACUGUUCGCCAAAUAACUACGAGUAAAAACUUAAAAUUUAAAAGACUUGACGGUACUUCAUAUCAACCUAGAGGAGCCUGUCUAAUAACCGAUAAUCCACGAUUAACCCUACCUACUCUAGCCCAACAGUCUAUAUACCGCCGUCGCCAGCCUACCUUGUGAAAGAAACAAAGUAAGCCUAAUAAUAACCCAUUAAUACGACAGGUCGAGGUGUAACUAAUGAGCAGGACCAAGAUGGGCUACAUUUUCUAAACCAGAAAAAACGAACAGACUAUGAAACUAGAAACUGAAGGCGGAUUUAGCAGUAAGCUGAGGAUAAACAACCCAACCGAAACACAACGCAAUGAAGUGCGCACACACCGCCCGUCAUCCCUGUAAAACACUUAACCUAUUCAUAAACAACUAUCGUUCCACUAAAUCAGGGCAAGUCGUAACAUGGUAAGCGUACUGGAAAGUGUGCUUAG